ACUAAUCAUUCACGUGAUAGGUAUAUUUAUAUAUUCAUAUAUAUUGUAAUAAUUUAGUGACCUCUGUAACAUGUUUUUAAAUUCAUUUUUUUUUUUUUUUUAAAGUUUAAAAAUUAAAAAAAAAAAAUAUAUACUUUAAAAUAAAAUACUUUUUUAUAAGAAAAAUAUUAUUUUGUAAGAGAACAUAGCAUUUCGAUGUUUUUUUUAACAUAUAACAAAAUGCAUACUGCUUAAUUUCUAAAUAUAAACAAUACAUAAAUAUUUAUACAUGUGCAUUAUAUACGGAUUUAUUUAUUCAUUUAUUUAUAUUACUUAUUUAUCUACGAAUUUUAUAUAUAUGUAUAUAUUCACAUUUCCUGCUGAAGUUUAUUUUAAUAGUAUUACUUUAAUACUUUUGUUCUACACAUUAAAUUAAAUAAUUACGUAAUUCUAUUUUGCAGGUUUUAUAUGAUUUUUUUUUUUUUUUAACAUUUAUUAUUUAGGUAAACAUUUUUUUAUAAGAAAAAAUUAGUUUUUUUUUUUUUUUUUUAUAAUAUAUAUAUGUAUAUAUAUAUAUAUAUAUAAUAGGCGUGCAAACCAUAAAUUCCAUCUUCUCAAAUCAAACAUAAGAGUAACGUAUUUUUUUUAAAAGUACUAGUUUUGUAUAAUUAAAGUAUUAUGUAAUUUUUUUUGUAAUGUUUUGUAUUUAUAUAUAUAUAUAUAUAUAUAUAUAUAUAUAAACUAAAUAGCACACAUAAUAAGCCGAGCACAUAUGUAAAUCCCUAUACCUAAAAUGUUUUUUUUUUAAAUGCAUUUAUUGGCAAUAAUAAUAUAUAAAUAUAUUUAAAUAUACCGUCGAAGUUAAAACAAUAUAAGAUUGUUUCCUUGGUUUUCAAAAUCAUGACUUAAUAUAAAAUGAUAAUUAAUGCUAAUUCGGUUCAAUUUUUGGAGAACAAAGACAGUGAAUUUCAAAAAAAUGAGAACGAUGGUACAAAUGAAAAAAAUGUGAGGAUAUAUGCAGAUGGCAUAUAUGACCUAUUACAUUUAGGUCAUAUGAAACAACUUCAACAAGCGAAACACUUAGAAAAAAAAAGUUACAUUAAUUGUUGGGGUUUGUAGUGAUAUAGAUACUAGAAAAUUCAAAGGACAGAUAGUACAAACAUUAGAAGAAAGAACUGAAACGUUAAAACAUAUUAGAUGGGUUGAUGAAAUCAUUUCACCUUGUCCAUGGGUAAUAACACCAGAAUUUGUUGAAAAAAUAUAACAUAGAUUAUGUAGCUCAUGAUGAUAUACCAUAUGCUAGUAAUCAAAAAAAUUCUAAUAAAAAAAAAAAAAAAAUAAUAAAAAUAAUUCA
RNAcentral lists this long non-coding RNA (1333 nucleotides) under Piliocolobus tephrosceles (Ugandan red Colobus). RNAcentral describes it as "lncRNA (ENSPTEG00000001898.1)". The record is from RNAcentral. Lineage: Eukaryota; Metazoa; Chordata; Mammalia; Primates; Cercopithecidae.